UCUUCUAAUUUUUAUUGAUAUUUCAAAUUCAAUACUAGUUAUGAACGUUUUAAAAUUGUAAUAUUUUACUUAGUAUAACUCACAUUAAAACUAAAAUAUGAGUUAAAACUCAUGUGGUGCCUUAAAUAGUAUUCUUACCUUUAAGUUUGAUAGUAGGUCAAUUUACUUUAAUAAAUUUAAAAGCUAACAAUACAAAAUUGAUUCGGCUAAACGAACAUUUGUUAUGAUGUACGCUUGUAAGAUGGAGACAAGAGAUUGGGUUUUGACAUCUCGUUAACUUCUUUUGAACAAUUUAUAUGAUAUAUUCUAUAUUAUUCAAAAGCUUUUCUUUCGCUAACAUCCUACUUAACAGUUUAGACCACAUACAAGUUGUAAUAAUUGUAUUUCUCUGGAAAUGGCCCUCAAUUUUGGCACUGUUGACGGUUCGUUUGUUUGUCCGUAUUCUAUUUUUUUUAACAAUAAAAUAUGUUCUUGGUAUGCAUGACUAUUGUCUAUUAUCAUAAACUUUUUCACAUUCAAGUGUUCCUAACCAUGUUCUUCUUCUCAUUUUUUCAUCCAUGCUUUUUGUUGUAUGUAUAUAAAAGAUGGUUAUAAACUUAAUAAUUUAAUAACUUAAUUAUUGGGUUUUUUUUCAUUAUAAUACCCAAUGAUAUUCCAAUAUAUGUAUUUUGUUGUUGAACCGUUAAAUUUUAUGUUCUGACUAAUAAAGACUAUGCAAUUCGUAUUAAUCGUUUUAAAAUAUAUGAAUAAAAUAUUAUAUGUGUAAAACUAUAACACAUCUUGCACUUAGAAUUAACGGUUAUAUGAAUCUAGACUACUAACGUUGGAGUUAGAAGUUACAAAUUAACUCUCAAAGAAUAUAUAUAAUUUCAUUAGAAACAAAAUAAAUUGACUAAAAAAAUAAAUAUAAUUCUAUUGUUUACUUCGCUUUUCAACUAUAAACGAAACUAUAAAUAGUAGGUCAUUUUUUCAGAGUAUUUUAUGAAAUUAAUAUUAAUACUAAAUAUAUUUUAUAGAUUGGUUUUUGAUUUUAAAGAAAAAUGAUAAUGAAAUCAGUAAUAAUGAAAUCAUUAUUAGGUAUUAUUAGUUAAAAUUAAGUAAAAAGUAGAUUCGAUACACAAGUUAUGUUUGUUGCCUAUAGUAAUAUACGUGUUUACAAUUUUAAACAAUUCAAAAUUUAAAAAAUUUACAACAAUUAUAUGGAAGACUGUCCAUUGGAUAAAGCAAAAUUAGGAUAUCAUACCUGGAGUCUUCUUCACUCGAUGGUGGCAUACUAUCCAGACGAGCCCUCUGACCAACAACGGAAAGAUAUGGAGAAUUUCUUUAGACUAAUCGGCCGUCUUUAUCCUUGUGAAACAUGUGCAAGGGAUUUCACAAUGCUUUUAACUAAUCAACCCCCUGAAACACAUUCUCAACAAACCCUAUCCAAUUGGCUAUGUCGUGUACAUAAUCACGUUAAUCAAAAACUUGGUAAGCCAUUAUUUGAUUGCAAGCAGAUUAACGAGCGAUGGAGGGAUGGGUGGAAGGAUGGAAGCUGUCAAUAAUAAAAUACGGUUGGAAAUGUAAAUUGUAAUCGCAAUUAAACUGCUUAAUUGAUAAUUUCCCAUUAUAAAAUAAGCAGGUAUGACGUUUAAUAUGUUUCAGUAAACACACUUGUGCAUAUCAAUUUAUAAUAAAUUGUUAUACAUAUAUCCGUUUUUUUUUAUCACAGAAUAAAAGCGACCACCCUGAAUGUUCCGGUAUAAGUUCCGCAUUGAAUAUCACUUGGUCAAAUUAAUUAAGUUUAAUAUCAAAACAGUUUAUAAAAUGACUUGUCUCAAUCAGUAUUUUACUAAAAAUAUGGCAAUUUAUAUGUUGGUUGCUUGUUUAUUCCAAGUCAGUGGUGGUCGAGCAGCACCCGAUCCUCAGACGAUUUCAGUGGAUGUUCCUGAUACGUCCUAUGUGCAAAGCAUUUUUGGCGGCCUGACUAGCAGAGCAAAGUCGAUGGCAAGCAACGUCGUCUCAAGGUACUUGGACUCAGCAGACGCGGCGGCGGAGUCCGGAAAAAACAUGGUGUCAUUUUUACACAGAAUGAACGAAUCAGCCAUAAACUUCGGCACUAACACCGCCAGCAGAAUGGGGCAGAUGGUGAAGAACGGCACUAGAAAUUGGUCGAGUCUUCUGAGUGGCAUUUUCAGCAGUGAACAGUGACUCGAAAUUAUUUUUGUAUUGUUAUAUUAUAAUAUAAAGUGACAUAUCAUAACAACAAUAAUAGUUUUAAAAAAAUGAUGGUACGAAUAACGAAGAGCACCAGUCUUUAAGUUUUUUCUCGCCAAAAAAGUGUAACAUUGUAGAAUUACUGACUCAAUAUUGUCUAGAACAUGAAAUAAAAAUGUUGUUUUAAAUCAUAAUAAAUUAUAAUAAAAAUUAAC
Myzus persicae (green peach aphid) is the source of this 2411-nucleotide RNA transcript. It is a transcript of the gene named FAD-linked sulfhydryl oxidase ALR-like, with no coding region annotated. Lineage: Eukaryota; Metazoa; Arthropoda; Insecta; Hemiptera; Aphididae. The transcript has 5 exons. The record is from RefSeq and is a predicted model, not a curated record.